Molecule: ribosomal RNA, 520 nt
Filed under: uncultured bacterium
Lineage: Bacteria
Description: bacterial SSU rRNA
Rfam family: Bacterial small subunit ribosomal RNA
Source: RNAcentral
ACGGGUGAGUAACGCGUGGGUAACCUGCCAUAUACUUGGGGAUAACACUUAGAAAUAGGUGCUAAUACCGCAUAAGCGCACAUGGCCGCAUGGCCAGGUGUGAAAAACUCCGGUGGUAUAUGAUGGACCCGCGUCUGAUUAGCUAGUUGGUGAGGUAACGGCCCACCAAGGCGACGAUCAGUAGCCGGCCUGAGAGGGUGGACGGCCACAUUGGGACUGAGACACGGCCCAAACUCCUACGGGAGGCAGCAGUGGGGGAUAUUGGACAAUGGGGGGAACCCUGAUCCAGCGACGCCGCGUGAGUGAAGAAGUAUCUCGGUAUGUAAAGCUCUAUCAGCAGGGAAGAAAGAAAUGACGGUACCUGAGUAAGAAGCCCCGGCUAACUACGUGCCAGCAGCCGCGGUAAUACGUAGGGGGCAAGCGUUAUCCGGAAUUACUGGGUGUAAAGGGAGCGUAGACGGUGAUGUAAGUCUGGAGUGAAAGGCGGGGGCCCAACCCCCGGACUGCUCUGGAAACUAUA